Molecule: unclassified non-coding RNA, 306 nt
Filed under: uncultured Clavariaceae
Lineage: Eukaryota; Fungi; Basidiomycota; Agaricomycetes; Agaricales; Clavariaceae
Description: sequence contains ITS2
Source: RNAcentral
AACGCACCUUGCACCCUCUAGCAUUCUGGAGGGUAUGCCUGUUUGAGUGUCAUUAAUCUCUCAACACAAGAAACUUUGUCUUGUGCUUGGAUAUUGAAGGUUUUGCUGGCGCAAACAACUGUCAGCUCCUUUUAAAUGUAUUAGCAGAGCAGUAUUGGACUGGCCUCGGUUUGAUAAGAAAGUUUAUCUAUGCUGUCGCUGGGUUCUCUCUGUGCUCAGCUUCAAAUUGUCUUCGGACUGUCUCUUGAGGCAAACAAAUCUCUAUUGAUCGACCUCAAAUCAGGUAGGACUACCCGCUGAACUUAA